RNAcentral lists this ribosomal RNA (400 nucleotides) under uncultured bacterium. RNAcentral describes it as "bacterial SSU rRNA". It matches the Rfam family "Bacterial small subunit ribosomal RNA", at positions 356 to 773 of the family's 1533-position model. The record is from RNAcentral.
GGGGAAUAUCGGACAAUGGGCGAAAGCCUGAUCCAGCCAUGCCGCGUGAGUGAUGAGGGCCUUAGGGUUGUAAAGCUCUUUCAGUAGGGAAGAUAAUGACGGUACCUACAGAAGAAGCCCCGGCUAACUUCGUGCCAGCAGCCGCGGUAAUACGAAGGGGGCUAGCGUUGUUCGGAUUUACUGGGCGUAAAGCGCACGUAGGCGGAUCGUUAAGUCGGGGGUGAAAUCCUGGAGCUCAACUCCAGAACUGCCUUCGAUACUGGCGAUCUUGAGUCCGGAAGAGGUGAGUGGAACUCCUAGUGUAGAGGUGGAAUUCGUAGAUAUUAGGAAGAACACCAGUGGCGAAGGCGGCUCACUGGUCCGGUACUGACGCUGAGGUGCGAAAGCGUGGGGAGCAAAC